Molecule: ribosomal RNA, 253 nt
Filed under: uncultured bacterium
Lineage: Bacteria
Description: partial 16S ribosomal RNA
Rfam family: Bacterial small subunit ribosomal RNA
Source: RNAcentral
UACGUAGGGGGCUAGCGUUGUCCGGAAUCAUUGGGCGUAAAGCGCGCGUAGGCGGCCCGGUAAGUCCGCUGUAAAAGUCAAAGGCUCAACCUUUGAAUGUCAGUGGAUACUGCCGGGCUAGAGUCCGGAAGAGGCGAGUGGAAUUCCUGGUGUAGCGGUGAAAUGCGCAGAUAUCAGGAGGAACACCGAUGGCGAAGGCAGGUCUCUGGGCCAUAACUGACGCUGAGAAGCGAAAGCAUGGGGAGCGAACAGG